GCAUAGGUUUAGAGCCGAAGAAUGCAGGGAUGGAGCCAGAUUCCAACAUCAGCAGUGGUGAUGCACAGCAUGAUUUUAUAUGGGAUGUACGGGCAUUGGAGAGUCAUGGCUCUAAGAAGAUUGUGUCAGAUGGUUCAUUUGCAGCAAAAGAAGAUCUGAAUACCUAUGAGGAGAUGAGGUAAGCCUUGGAUGAGAUAGGU
Molecule: long non-coding RNA, 200 nt
Filed under: Elaeis guineensis (African oil palm)
Lineage: Eukaryota; Viridiplantae; Streptophyta; Magnoliopsida; Arecales; Arecaceae
Description: long non-coding RNA (EGUI_LNC019895)
Source: RNAcentral